UACGGAGGAUCCGAGCGUUAUCCGGAUUUAUUGGGUUUAAAGGGUGCGCAGGCGGGAGAUUAAGUCGGCGGUGAAAUUUUGCAGCUCAACUGUAAAAGUGCCUUCGAUACUGGUUUCCUUGAGUGUGGAUGAAGUAGGCGGAAUUUGUGGUGUAGCGGUGAAAUGCUUAGAUAUCACGAGGAACUCCGAUUGCGCAGGCAGCUUACUAAACCACUACUGACGCUCAGGCACGAAGGCGUGGGGAGUCAAACAGGAUUAGAUACCCCGUACGU
RNAcentral lists this ribosomal RNA (272 nucleotides) under uncultured prokaryote. RNAcentral describes it as "partial 16S ribosomal RNA". It matches the Rfam family "Bacterial small subunit ribosomal RNA", at positions 524 to 794 of the family's 1533-position model. The record is from RNAcentral.